AUAAGUUAUAAUAUUAUAACACCGUAUAUCUAUAUAGAACACGCCAUUGAUGGUUAACAGAUUACUCAUCUACAAUCUCUAUACUAGAAUAAUGAAUAAAUGCUAUUCAAUCCAUUAUUUUUUUAAUAAAACACUUUAUUGAUGGUUAACCUUUCAACAUAUUUUACUUUUGCAUGUAUACAUGCAUGUUGUAGUUUAGGCACUUAUAAGUCAAACACGCCAUACACAUAAUCUUUUCUUAUUUAUUUAUGUUUAACUUUGAUGGUCAAACCACCACUUCACCGGUGGCUUUCUGGUCCCACUGCGGCAAACUCCGGCUGAAAUACGACGCCACCACCCUUGAGUCCAGCAACUCCAUUAUCGGAGUAUAGCUAACGCACCUUGGCACUUUAUACUGGUUAAUUGAUGCCCCUCUUGACAAUGCAUGAUCCAUCAAACAUUCAAAUGUACCAUUUUUCACCACCCGAAGCUCCAAUGGCCCGAUCGAUUUGCACUCAACCCGACCCUGUCGGUACACUGAGUUCAGAGAUUCCUCCAUCACCAAACAACACUGCUCAAGCACCUCAUCUGUUGGAUAGUUUGUUGGAUCCUUCACUAACAAUUCCCAGAAUAUAACGUAAUGCCCGGGUAUGCUUCGGGUAUCCGCAUAGCUUGUGUACUCAACCACAUUUGUGUUGAACCGGUUCAACAGUUUGGAUGCAUUGUCGAUGGCGGAUUGGAGUUCGGGUUCAGUUGUUUUGUCUGAAUCGAUGCUUAGCAGCACGCCUUUCCGCCUCACGAAGUGAAACUUUGGGGCGGAGUUGUGGAACCCUGUGACACGAAGAAUGUCACCUACGCGGUAUCUGUAUAACGCGUAGGUAGUGAUCACAAGCUCAUACUCCUUCCCUAUUUCCACAUUCACAAGGUCGACUAGAGAAACAUUAUUACUGGUCGACCCUGAAUGUGGAUCACAGGGAAGGAACUCGAAGUAUGCCAUAUUUGGCAUUAUGGUGUACGAAACUUCAGACGGUUCGCACAACGGGUUCAGGUUGAUACCAAAAUAACACUCGGACGACGCGUACAUGGUGCACACUUUCGGUAACCCACCGCUAUAAUAAUCAAGGGUGGGAAUAUAUUGGGCCAUUGCACCCGUUACGAUUACUUCAAGAUACUUGGCAUUAGGCCAGAUUCGGGUGAUGAUCCCUUCCCAGUUCUCCUUUGAGCAUUCGGAUUCUAUUACGUUUGCAAGAGCGUGGUCCGGCCUCAGUAUCCGGACCAUGCAUUGCUGGAUAUCCGGAUCAGAUACCCUCUUAUCAAGGGUACCUGUCCGGAUAUCCUGACAAAGUUCCUUCCAAUAAAGCUGAAGGAACCGAAUGGCUCGAAGAAGACCAGAAGCAAAGAUGGCUCCGAUACGGAGUACUUGCUCCCGAUCAUACAAUCCACAAAGCAUCUGAGCGUACAUGCUCUGGAACGAGUCCGGACAGAGAACGGCCUCAUUCGGGCUUGUGUAGACGUUAUACGGGUCGUAUGGUCGGGCCUUGAAGCGGUCACUCUUGUAGUAGCUUGUGAGAACGGGUCGGGCCAACAGCCCACCCGGAGUUUUUGUUUCGGAUUUAACGAACAGAAAAUACAAGCCUUUUCCCUUAUCCAGACCCGGCAUGUACAUGUUCAUUACCGGCAUCAGAAGACUGUAAAGCAGUUGACGUCGAUCCAAAUCUUCAUUAAUCGCCGGCAUGAGUUUUCUUUCACCAGCGGAAGUCCCAGAACUAACUGGAGAACGAUCGCCAUUAGCGAUGCGUUGAAUAAAAGGCUCAAGAUCUUCGUAAGUAACAACCGGUAUUUUGGAUUUGAAAGUUUCACGAUCCGUAGCUCCGGCGAGAUUGUACAGCUGGAGAUACUCCGUUUCGGCGUUCCGCCGUAGUAUCUCCGCCAACACGUUGGUCUGAACCGCGUCGGCGUUGGCCGUCACAUCAUCAAUGAACUGAAUUACCGCCGCAUCAUUCUCGAACGCCGGCAAACACUUGUGAGCCAUUUUGUUUUGUUAACAAAGGUUUGUAUGUUUU
This 2042-nucleotide long non-coding RNA is filed under the name Helianthus annuus (common sunflower). RNAcentral's name for it is "hypothetical non coding rna". The record is from RNAcentral. Lineage: Eukaryota; Viridiplantae; Streptophyta; Magnoliopsida; Asterales; Asteraceae.